Populus nigra (black poplar) is the source of this 1110-nucleotide long non-coding RNA. RefSeq lists it as uncharacterized. Lineage: Eukaryota; Viridiplantae; Streptophyta; Magnoliopsida; Malpighiales; Salicaceae. The transcript is spliced from 2 exons. The record is from RefSeq and is a predicted model, not a curated record.
UGCAUACAGCAAUUGCUUUGAAAACAUGAUGUUUGAUUUUUUUUUCUAUUAUUAUUAUUAUUAAUAUUACUAUUGUCGACACACAAACAUGUCUUGGAACCUUGGUUUGCUGCUGCGUCUGUCAUUUUGCGGCCCUUGUCAUAAUAAUUGACCUUAUUCCUUCUAAAAUUUAUUGGAAGGGUCAAAACAAUAUAAGUUAUGUGGGUACUUCAUAAUGCAUUAUUAUGAAGAAAAAAAAUUAUGCUUUUUAACUAAUCUUCUGCAGAAACAAUCUGCUGUCUUCAUUUUGGAAACUAAGCUGCCCUAUAAAGUUAAGAUUAUCAUUUGGAUAGUGAUGCUCAAUAAAAUUAACAGUAAUGACUUGUUACAGACUAGAAGGCCUCAUAAGACUGUACCUCCUAAUAUUUGUGUUCUGCGUCACCAAAAUGUAGAAUCUUAGUCAUCUUGUUUGAACUACCUGGUGUCGUGGAUAUGUGGCAGAGAAGUCAUCUUGUUUGAACUACCUGGUGUCAUGGAUAUGUGGCAGAGAUUGUUUGGAGUUGAAUCGUGUCUUGGGUGAUUCCAAGCAGUCUGUAGGUCUGUUUGAAUGGAGAGGAAGGUGAGUACUUUUAGGAUUGAUUACUGUUUGAGCCAAUCGUUAUGGCCUUAUGGGAAACCAUCAAUUGGGUUGAGGAUCAUCUUCUGGGCUGUUUUCAUGGAUGUCUUCUGAAUAUUAUUUCCCUGCUGUCAAUAAGGUUGUUUUCCUUACUUAUCAGUAGUUUCAUGCAGCGGGGCUUUUAGGGGCAUUUCCUUAGCUGAUAUUCAAAGGGAUUGGAAUGCCUUUUUGGCUUCUAGCUUUGUUUUUUUGUUUUGCUGUUUUAGAUGAUGAAUUAUUCUCCAAUUUACUAUUGCACAUUUACUUCUUCCAAAUAUCUUCUUUUCUAUUAUUUAUCUGGAAAAAAAAAGUUCAAAACUGGUGCCUUGGCAUGAUACAUUGACCUCUGGACAUGUCUUGAUACCAUUGAGGUGCAAGAACAUAAAAACUGUAUGAGCAUUCUGUGGGAAAAAAAGAUAUGUUCAAUUCAUUGUACAUUGAUUAGGUAAUCAAUAUGAUGGUUAUUCUUCUGAAUA